Molecule: non-coding RNA, 561 nt
Organism: Pelobates cultripes (western spadefoot toad)
Lineage: Eukaryota; Metazoa; Chordata; Amphibia; Anura; Pelobatidae
Source: the annotation of a GenBank genome assembly
GCUUCACCCCGCACUUCCCUCUUUCUACUGCUAAUAGCUCUCCCUAUACAACCAAGCAUUCUGCUAGCAUUUCCUGCCUACCUUUAAGUCAUCAGAAAUAAUCACCUCUAAAUCCCUUUUCUCAGAUGUUGAGGUUAGGACUCUGUCAAAUAUUCUGCACUUUGCCCUUGGGUUUUUACAUCCAAGAUGCAUUAUCUUGCACUUAUUCACAUUAAAUGUCAGUUGCCACAACUCUGGCCAUUUUUCUAGUUUACCUAAAUCAUUUGCCAUUUGGCUUAUCCUUCCUGGAAUAUCAACCCUGUUACAUAUCUUAGUAUCAUCAGCAAAAAUACACACCUUACCAUUAAUACCUUCUGCAAUAUCACUAAUAAAAAUAUUAAAGAGAAUGGGUCCAAGUACAGAUCCCUGAGGUACCCCACUGGUGACAAACCCAUGCUUCGAAUAUAUUCCAUUGACUACAACCCUCUGUUGCCUGUCACUCAGCCACUGCCUUACCCAUUCAACAAUAUUGGAAUCCAAACUUAAAUAUUGCAGUUUAUUGAUGAGCCUUCUACGUGCAAC